UGAGUGAAUUGUUGAACCAAAGGAGC
This 26-nucleotide non-coding RNA is filed under the name Rattus norvegicus (Norway rat). The record is from RNAcentral. Lineage: Eukaryota; Metazoa; Chordata; Mammalia; Rodentia; Muridae.